Molecule: ribosomal RNA, 473 nt
Filed under: uncultured bacterium
Lineage: Bacteria
Description: bacterial SSU rRNA
Rfam family: Bacterial small subunit ribosomal RNA
Source: RNAcentral
CGGCGUGCUUAACACAUGCAAGUCGAACGGAGUUAAGAAGGAAGCUUGCUUCAUUUAAACUUAGUGGCGGACGGGUGAGUAACGCGUGAGGAACCUGCCCUUCAGUGGGGAACAACAACUAGAAAUGGUUGCUAAUACCGCAUAAUGUCGGAGAGCCGCAUGACUUUCCGACCAAAGGAUUUAUUCGCUGAAGGAUGGCCUCGCGUCCGAUUAGGCAGUUGGUGAGGUAACGGCCCACCAAACCUACGAUCGGUAGCCGAACUGAGAGGUUGAUCGGCCACAUUGGGACUGAGACACGGCCCAGACUCCUACGGGAGGCAGCAGUGGGGAAUAUUGGGCAAUGGGCGAAAGCCCUGACCCAGCAACGCCGCGUGAAGGAUGACGGUCUUCGGAUUGUAAACUUCUUUAAUUGGGGAAGAACAAAAUGACCUACCCAAAGAAUAAGUCACGGCUAACUACGUGCCAGCCGCUGC